RNAcentral lists this long non-coding RNA (491 nucleotides) under Mus caroli (Ryukyu mouse). RNAcentral's name for it is "lncRNA (MGP_CAROLIEiJ_G0004292.1)". The record is from RNAcentral. Lineage: Eukaryota; Metazoa; Chordata; Mammalia; Rodentia; Muridae.
GCCGGAACUUCCUGGCAUUUCGGUAGUAUUCGAGUCGAGCUGGAGCGUCUGCGGUCUCGAGUUUGAGCACGAAGUAACGCCUAUGCCCAUGCUUCUGCUUCCUCAGGUAGCCGCGUUUGCAGACUUCAUCCCCGACGGGGAGGUCCUCCUCUUCGGAUUCCGAGUCUGACCGGGAGCCAGUGGCUGUGGAGAGCCACAUGGCUCCCGGACAGGACGACCCGGUCCCAAUGAGUGCGGUCCGGGUUCCCGAGGAAAGGAGCGGGGUGGUCGCCACUGCUGCUAGAGCUGCGGAGGCUGCUGCUGCUGCUGAGGCUCUCAGUCUCCUAAGCGCUUGGUGGCCAGAGAAGGAGCAACUCGCCAUGGUGAUGCACGGUGGUUUUAAGCUCACAUUUUCCCUUCCGAUCAUCGCAGUUUGCUCUAGUUCCACCCUCCUCUCACUUUGAGCUGUGCUUCUUAGCAGAAAAAGGCAGUUAUCUCUGGAAACGUGGUAA